CUUAGAGUUUGAUCCUGGCUCAGGACGAACGCUGGCGGCGUGCUUAACACAUGCAAGUCGGCGGGGAUUGAUGAAGUGCUUGCACGGAUUCAAUUCUAGCGGCGGACGGGUGAGUAACGCUGAGCAAUCUGUCCUACACAGGGGGAUAACACUUGGAAACAGGUGCUAAUACCGCAUAAGCCACGCUAUCGCAUGGUAGAGGGGUAAAAGAUUUAUCGGUGUAGGGUGAGCUCGCGUCUGUUAGCUAGUUGGUGAGGUAACGGCCCACCAAGGCGACGAUCAGUAGCCGACCUGAGAGGGGAUCGGCCACAUUGGAACUGAGACACGGUCCAGACUCCUACGGGAGGCAGCAGUGGGGAAAUUGGGCAAUGGGCGCAAGCCUGACCCAGCAACGCCGCGUGAAGGAAGAAGGUUUUCGGAUGUAAACUUCUGUCCUUGGUGACGAAGAAAGUGACGGUAGCCAAGGAGGAAGCCCCGGCUACUACGUGCCAGCAGCCGCGGUAAUACGUAGGGGGCAAGCGUUGUCCGGAAUGACUGGGCUAAAGGGCGUGUAGGCGGCUUUUUAAGUGUGAAGUGAAAGUCCUGCUUUCAAGGUGAGAAUGCUUUGCAAACUG
RNAcentral lists this ribosomal RNA (614 nucleotides) under uncultured Bacillota bacterium. RNAcentral describes it as "bacterial SSU rRNA". It matches the Rfam family "Bacterial small subunit ribosomal RNA", at positions 1 to 635 of the family's 1533-position model. The record is from RNAcentral. Lineage: Bacteria; Bacillati; Bacillota.